Molecule: ribosomal RNA, 2706 nt
Filed under: Triticum aestivum (bread wheat)
Lineage: Eukaryota; Viridiplantae; Streptophyta; Magnoliopsida; Poales; Poaceae
Description: partial small subunit ribosomal RNA
Source: RNAcentral
AUGCUAUAUGGUAAACGACUGUUCCAACAGUAUGUGGUUGAUAUGUACAUCAAGGUUGAAAGCUCAAGAUUGGACUAUAUCAGAAAUCACCAGAAACAAAUACGUGCUGAUCUAUACCAAGGUGUUGUUGAUAGCCUUCAAGCUGGGGAAAAACGUGCGGAUGCAGUGGGCAAAUGGACUAUACUUCCUACAUCAUUUAUUGGGGGAAAAAGAGAUAGGAGACGAAGGUAUCUUGAUGCCAUGGCCUUGGUGCAAAAGUAUGGGAAACCAGAUAUAUUUUUAACCAUGACUUGCAAUCCAAAUUGGGAUGAGAUAAUUAGUGAGCUAGAGCCUGGACAAACCCCACAGGAUCGCCCUGAUCUUAUCGUACGAGUAUUUCGAGCAAAGUUGGAAGACCUCAAGAUACAACUUUUUAAGAAGCACAUGCUCGACAAAUCCAAGUACCCAGAGUUGUACAAAAUGGUCGUCAAGCACAUGAUGCAUGGCCCGUGUGGAGUCCUCAACCCCAAGAACGUGUGCAUGCAAAAUGGUAGCUGCAAGAACUACUAUCCACGACCAUUUAAUGCGUCAACCCUUCAGGGAAAGGACUCAUAUCCCAUAUACCGGAGGAGAGAUGAUGGACGUCGUGCGAAGGUAUGGGGUGAAGAUUUAGACAAUAGGUGGGUUGUUCCAUACAAUCCUUACCUACUAAGAAGGUAUAACUGCCACAUCAAUGUUGAGGUUUGCUCAAGCAUAAAAGUUGUGAAGUACCUCUUUAAAUACAUAUAUAAGGGGCAUGAUCGAGCAUCUGUUUCUAUCGACGCGGUGGAUAGUGACGGAAACAUUGAUGAAAUAAAGCAAUACAGAGAUUCCAGAUGGGUUACACCACCAGAAGCAUUAUGGAGGAUCUAUGGUUUUGACCUUAGUGAGAUAUUUCCUUCUGUUAGGCAGCUACAACUCCACCUCCCUAAUAUGCACAUGGUGUCAUUCCCGGCGGGCGCAAAUCUGAAUGAUGUCCUCUCCCAGGAAGGAGCUCCCAAGACCAUGCUAACCGAGUAUUUUGAAGCAAACAAGAAGUAUGAGUUGGCCUGGGGAAUUUUAUAUAAGGAUUUUCCGGCAUCUUUUAUUUGGAUCUCGGGUGGAAAGUAUUGGAAAAGGAGGGAUGAACGCACACAGAUCGGGAGAAUUGUGUCUGCUCAUCCAGCCGAAGGGGAGAGGUAUUAUCUUAGAGUGCUUCUAAACCAUGUCACAGGUGCUACAUCUUUCCAAGACCUAAGGACAGUGGAUGGUAUUGUUUUCCCGACAUUUCGUGAAGCUGCUGAAAGGAGGGGUCUUAUCGAGUCAGAUAAUACUAUUGACGAGUGUCUUAAUGAAGCUGAGGUUUUUCAGAUGCCAUCUUCCCUUCGAAGGCUAUUUGCCACUAUAUUGGUCUUUUGUGAGCCCAGCAAUGUGCGUGUUCUAUGGGACAGGCACUUGGAAGCUAUGACAGAAGACUAUCGACUAUACCACAUGUCCCCUCAUGCAGUUGAGCAGAUGGCUUUGUUAGAUAUAAAAAGUAUGUUUGAAUCGAUGGGGAAGGACAUAUCAUCAUUCCCUCUUCCAGAAAUUGAUGAGUCGUAUGAUGGCUCAAAUAACGAGGCUAGGGAGAUCACAGAGGAGUCGACGAUAGGGGUGAACCCAGAACACCUUGGCUUUUCAUCUUUCCUAAACCCAGAACAGAGAUAUGCAUAUGAUGAGAUACUUGCAACAAUCAAUAGUGGCCAAGGAGGUGUGUUCUUUGUUGAUGGACCAGGAGGCACUGGAAAGACUUAUCUAUACAAAGCACUACUUGCAAAAGUACGUGGUGAGGGUAAAAUAGCUAUUGCAAUAGCGACAUCAGGCGUUGCUGCAUCCAUCUUGCCCGGCGGGAGGACUGCACACUCAAGGUUUAAAAUACCAUUGAACAUUGAAGAUGGUGGAGUUUGCAGCUUCACCAAGCAAAGUGGGACAGCUAAGCUUCUUAUGAGCGCCUCCCUCAUAAUUUGGGAUGAGGCCUCCAUGACAAGGAGACAGGCAGUCGAGGCCCUUGAUAAUAGCAUGAGGGACAUCAUGGCUCAACCUGACCUGCCAUUUGGCGGAAAGACUAUCGUGUUUGGGGGAGAUUUCAGACAAGUGCUUCCUGUUGUUCGCAAGGGAACAAGGUCACAAAUAAUUGACGCGACGCUACGCAAGUCUUACCUUUGGGAGAGUAUGAGACAUAUAAGACUUGUCCGUAAUAUGAGGGCUCAAAGUGAUCCAUGGUUUGCUGAUUAUCUUCUGCGUGUUGGGAAUGGCACCGAAGAUACUAUGGAUGAUGGUUACAUACGAUUCCCAGAUGAGAUUUGUGUACCAUAUACCGGCGUUGCCUCUGAUAUUGACAAGCUUAUUGAAAGUGUUUUCCCGAUGCCGCUAGAUGAAAACCUCUUGGAUCCAAACUACAUAACGUCCCGAGCAAUUCUAUCAACUCGGAAUGAGUACGUUGACAAAAUCAAUAUGAGGAUGAUUGAGAGAUUUCCUGGGGAGGAGAUGAUAUACUACAGUUUUGAUCGCGCGGAGGAUGAUCCACACAACUACUACCCUGCAGAAUUCUUGAAUUCAUUGACACCUAAUGGUAUACCUCCCCAUAUCCUCAAGUUGAAGAUAAUUGUUCUAUUAUAUUGUUACGGAACAUUGACCCAGCGAGUGGGUUGUGCAACGGGACGAGGCUGA